CAGCAGCCGCGGUAAUACGAGGGGGGCAAGCGUUGUUCGGAAUUAUUAGGCGUAAAGCGUACGUAGGCGGCUUUGUAAGUUAGAGGUGAAAGCCCGGGGCUCAACCCCGGAAUUGCCUUUAAGACUGCAUCGCUUGAAUCGCGGAGAGGUGAGUGGAAUUCCGAGUGUAGAGGUGAAAUUCGUAGAUAUUCGGAAGAACACCAGUGGCGAAGGCGGCUCACUGGACGCGUAUUGACGCUGAGGUACGAAAGCGUGGGGAGCAAACAGGAUUAGAUACCCCUGUAGUCCCUGUCUCUUAUAC
Molecule: ribosomal RNA, 301 nt
Filed under: uncultured bacterium
Lineage: Bacteria
Description: partial 16S ribosomal RNA
Rfam family: Bacterial small subunit ribosomal RNA
Source: RNAcentral